RNAcentral lists this long non-coding RNA (2507 nucleotides) under Sus scrofa (pig). RNAcentral describes it as "lncRNA (ENSSSCG00045013658.1)". Lineage: Eukaryota; Metazoa; Chordata; Mammalia; Artiodactyla; Suidae. The record is from RNAcentral.
GCCGUGGAAACUGCGAGAGUUAAGAAGUGCCUUGCAGGAGGCUGGGUUCCUGCGGGCUCGCUAGGUGGUUUCUCUGAGGAGCCUCUGCGGCAUUGCGCUCUCACCUUGACCAGAGGGUGCUCCAGCCAGUACUCCCGGGCUGAGGUUAAAUGCAGUGAGCUAGUCAUCGAAUUAUGAGGGCAAGAAUUCGCUAUGGUUAUUGGAAUGCCAUCUGAAGCCCUACUGUUCGGAAUCCAGUCCUGUCUUCACCGCGUUCUUUGAUUUGGUGGCAGCAGUGAGAUUGAAGGAGACUUCUGACAGCUUCAGGGACAAUGAGAAAUACAGGCCCAAUGCCCUGUGAAUCCUUUGAGUUCUUUGUCUUUUUUGAAGUUUCUGAGGGCCACAGGGCUUCCAGAGAUCUCAUAUAGAGCCAUGGAUCAUGAAUCCUACCCUGAAGCUCAGCAAAGCAGCAUCUGAUGAGAAUGGGAUGAAAAUUGAACGAGCACACCGAACUACCACUAUCCUUAUGCAAAAGCAAGUUUGGAGUUGCUGGCAGGGUUCUCAGGCCCCCUGUACAAAUGCUCUUGAACUGAUUCUGCUUCUGUAAUGGCUUCUCAUUUCAAAUAAAACAUUGACACGGAUAAAGCAAUCUCUUUUUUAUUGUGGCAAAAUAUAUAUGAUAGAAACUUUGCCACUUAAGCUAUUUUAAGUGUACAGUGUAGUGGCAUUAAUUACAUUCACAAUAUUAUGCCGCCAUCACCGCUACCUAUUUCUAAAAUUUUUCAUCACCCCUAAAAGAAAUUCUGUACCCAUUAAGCAAUAACCCCCUAUUUUUCGAUCCCUCCCAUUCCUAGUCCCUGGUAACCACUAAUCUAUUUUCUGUCCCUAUGAGUUUGCCUAUUCAAGAUAUUUUCUAUAAGCGGAACCAUGUAAUUUUUAUUCUUUGCGCCUGGCUUAUUUUGCUCAGAAUGAUAUUUUCUAGGUUCAUUCAUGUAUCUAGUAUUUAAUUCCUUUUUGUGGCUGAAUAAUAUUCUAUUGUAUGGGCAGGCAUACCAUAUUUUAUUUAUCCAUUCAUCUGUUGAUGGACACUUGGGUUGUUUCCACCUCUUGGCUAUUGUGAGUAGGGUUGCGAUGAACAUUGGUGAACAGAUAUCUUUUCUUUGAGUCCCUACUUUCACUUCAGAAUAGUAAUUCUGUGUUAAAUUUUUGAAAAACUGCCACACUUUUUUACAGUGACCUCACCAUUUUACUUCCAUCAGCAGGGCAUGGGGGCUCUGAUUUCUUCAACUUCUCAUCAACACUUCUUAUUUUCUGAUUUUUUAAAGAUGAUAGCUGUUUUAAUUGGAGUGAAGAGUAUUUCUUUUUGGUUUUGCUUUACAUUUCCCUAAUGACUAGUGACAUGGAACAUCUUAUCUUUUGCUUAUUGGCCAUUUGUAUAUCUUCUUUGGCAAAUGUUUUUUUUCAAUUCUGUUGCCUAUUUUAUUUUUUUCUUCUUUUUCGGCCACCCCCUGGGCAUAUGGAAGUUCCUGGGCCAGGGAUCAAAUUCAAGCCACAGCUCUGACCUAUGCCACAGCUGUGGCAGCCCUGGAUCCUUAAUCUACUGCACCGGGCUGAGGAUCAAACUCAUGCCUCCACAUAGACAAUGCCAGAUCCUUAACCCAUUGUGCCACAGCAGGAAUUCUUCCUUUGCCUAUUUUAAAAUUGGGUUGUUUGUCUUUUUGUUGUUGAGUUGUAGGAGAUCUUUCUGUAUUUUGGAUAUUAAACCUGAUUCAGAUAUAUGAUUUGUAAUUAUUUUUCUCCCAUUCUGUGGGUUAUCUUUUCACUCUCUUGAUGUCCUUCAAUUCACAGAAGCUUUCAAUUUUAAUGAAGUGCAUUUAAUUAAUUUUUUUCUUUUGUUACUGUUCUUUUGGUAUGGUAUUUAAGAAACCAUAUUCCAGGUAGUUCCUGCUGUGGUGCAGUGGGUUAAAGAUCUGGUGUUGCUGCAGCUGUGUUGUAGUUUGCAGCUGUGGCUCAGAUUUGGUCCCUUCCAUAUGCUGUGGGUGUGACCAAAAAAGGGGGAAAAUAAAGAAAGAAACUAUACUCCAAACCAUAGUAAUGAAGAUUUGUACUUAACGUUUUCUUCUAUGAAUUUAGGUCUUUGAUCCAUUUUGAGUUAGUUUUUGUAGGUGGUAUAUAUUAAGGUCUGCUGCUUUUGACAGUCUUGAGUCAUAAGUUCUCUUGGCUCUUUCUCCAAAUUUGACUUCAUAGCAUUGUUUCUACCAUUGAAAAAAAAAUCCACACCUGAGGAUUCGUUAUGCAUCUAGGACCUUAAUCCCAUCAAGUUUCUGCAAGUAAGAGUCACUUAACCUAUGUGCUCUAUGCUAGUGUGUCAGAGAAAGAUAUCAGAUAUAAACAUGGAAUACCAGAAGAUUGGUCACCAACUCUAAGAUAAGGAUGUUUUCUUACAUUAUUGUGCAGGAGAACCAUGUAUUUACCACAUGUCUAAUCAAAUAUAAAUGAAUAAAAAAGUAUAAAGAGUAUAAUAUGUA